Molecule: long non-coding RNA, 989 nt
Organism: Solanum pennellii
Lineage: Eukaryota; Viridiplantae; Streptophyta; Magnoliopsida; Solanales; Solanaceae
Exons: 3
Source: RefSeq, a predicted model, not a curated record
UGGGGUUCAAUUUUCAGAAUUAUGUUUUACUUUUAAAAAAAUUCUACUGUUCAUUGCUUUUUCGGCAACUUUUCGGCCAGUCACCACCCUAAAGCCCCUUUCAUUUUUUUUAAUAUUUUUCCAUCCAAGCUAACAACCAGUAUGCUGCCCAACUUCUUCUUCCUUCAUCACCGUUUCGAGCAGCCGGCAACUUCACCACCAUCGGAGUUACAAGACCACCGAAACCCCACCUCCAUUUUUCCUUUUCUUCUCCAAACCAGUUCCAAAACUCCCUUCCUUUUUCCGUCACAAUUUUCAGCUAAGAAACCACCGGAAACACACCUAUUUUCACCACCAGUGACCACCAGACACCACCACAAGCUCGAACCACCAAGCUCCGGAAAAGAGCACCCAAUGUACAGUUCCCCUCCCCCUUUCCCUCUUACGAUUCUCCUCUUUUUGCAGGUAUUCAGUGAAUCUCUAAACUCCAGCGAGAAUGAACAAACAAGAACAACUAAAAUUUCUAAAUCUGCCUGAAUUUUCUAUUUUUCCGGUACUAUGUCAAUGUGGGAACGUUGUGGAAAUGAAGACCUCGUGAACGCAAUCCAAUCCUGGACGUAGGUUCCUUUGUUGCAAAACUUCAAAGGCACGAGGUGGAUGUGGAUAUUUUCGAUGGUAUGAUGAUGAAAUGCCUGCUCAAGCUAGGAGGGUGAUAUGGGGUUUGUUGAAAAGAGUCAAAACAUAUGAAUUGGAGAGGAAUCGAUCAAGAAAAGUAUGGAUAAUAUGCAUCAUCGUAGGGGUGAUAUUGGCUACUUGGAUUUGUGUAACAAAAUAAUCUUAGUUGAUUCAUUUGUCUUCUAUUAGAUUCCUUCAUAAAAGUAUGUAUGGUAGAUUCUAGUGUUCUUUAUGGGCAAUUUAGAUCGAUUUUUCUAUUGUAAAUGCCUUGUGUUUUUAUUGUAAUGAUUUAAUUGAAGGAAUGAAGAUAAUUUGUGCCUCAAAAGCAGUAAAAA